CAGCACGAAGCUAAGUGAUGAAUGCAGAAUGCAAGCAACAACAAGAAGCAAGCCAAGGGUCAAAAUUCAUGGCACAUAUGUGAACUGAUUACUGGGUGGUUGAUAUCAGACUUGUAUACCGGCACAGUGGGUUUCACUCUGUUUCCUUCGUAGGCUUUCAAGCUGCUGUACGUUCCUCUACUGUGAUUGACCGUCUUCCGGAUCAUUCUCAUGUAACUGCAUGUUGUUCAAGAAACCGUUCACUCGUCCCCUUCCCUUCGGGAUGACUUGUUGCAGGGCUCAUGUUUGCCAGACAGAGGCCAGAGUUAUUCAUCUCAUCAUGCAAACUGAGAACCCAAGACCUUAUUAUUUCUAUUUUCUUGACUACAUACAGAAGGGAUCUUUGUCCAUAAAAAAAUGCGGUGCGAGUAUGAAAAAGGCACCCUCCAGCUCUCAACCUCUCUCGUGUGAUUACCAACCAACUAUGCCAGAAAUCAGCUUGGCUGCCGGGUCUGGUAAGGGGGAAAAUAGGAAAUCAGCCUGGGCUAGUGAGCAUACAGCUAGACAGCUAGUCUGUGAAAAUUUGAACAUCUGUGUGUGAUAUGCCACCUUAAUAGUUUUGAGUGCGUUUUGUCUUAUUCUGGGGUCUGACGAAGGCAAAUGUGUUGUCCUUCAGAUCGUGCUUGUAUCUUCAGGUUAUAUUGCUCCACCUCUGGAGCCUUUCUGUAAGUAGUGGUGUGAUAACUGUGCUGCAUGACUGCAUGAAUCUAAUAGUCUGCACAGCUAGGCUCAAGUUAUUGUGAACUCAAGGUGGACGCCGUUUCCAUGAAGCUUUGUGCUUACAGGCCUACACAACUCAUCAGAGCCGUAUGAGCAACGUGCCUGAACCUUGAC
Long non-coding RNA from Panicum virgatum (switchgrass), 873 nucleotides. RefSeq lists it as uncharacterized. Lineage: Eukaryota; Viridiplantae; Streptophyta; Magnoliopsida; Poales; Poaceae. The transcript has 3 exons. The record is from RefSeq and is a predicted model, not a curated record.